AUUUAUGUUAUCUGUCCACCCCGGUACAGGUUCUUUCCACACAGUCGAUGAAUUUUAUCUACCUCAGUAUAAUUGCUGGAAUCUGUGGCAUCGCUUCUUCGACGAGACCUUCGGAUAAGGCUUUAGUGAAAGCAUUGUAGGCGCAACGUUUUGAUGUAAAUCAGUUCCGAAGCUCUGUCGUCCGAUAAGGGUUACAGUGAUGUCUUGGAAAUUGGCCGGUUGCUGUAACCACUAAUUCUUGGAACUGGCUUUUCGUUUGUCCCAGUAGCCAAGUAUGUAUAUGUAUUUUAAUCUAUUAUGAGAUAUCGAUGCAUUCUUUGAAAGAAAGAGAUACACAGGAUUUCUUGAAGAAUCUACCCCCUUCAACUUUGGCCAGUUUCGGUCCCAAAUAUCGCCCAAUAUCCAAAGCACUACCGUAAU
Molecule: long non-coding RNA, 420 nt
Organism: Colletes gigas
Lineage: Eukaryota; Metazoa; Arthropoda; Insecta; Hymenoptera; Colletidae
Exons: 3
Source: RefSeq, a predicted model, not a curated record